RNAcentral lists this ribosomal RNA (387 nucleotides) under Paenibacillaceae bacterium CL6.12. RNAcentral describes it as "bacterial SSU rRNA". It matches the Rfam family "Bacterial small subunit ribosomal RNA", at positions 90 to 470 of the family's 1533-position model. Lineage: Bacteria; Bacillati; Bacillota; Bacilli; Caryophanales; Paenibacillaceae. The record is from RNAcentral.
ACUUAGCGGCGGACGGGUGAGUAACACGUAGGCAACCUGCCCUCAAGACUGGGAUAACUACCGGAAACGGUAGCUAAUACCGGAUAAUUUCUUUCCUCUCCUGAAGAGAGAAUGAAAGGCGGAGCAAUCUGCCACUUGGGGAUGGGCCUGCGGCGCAUUAGCUAGUUGGUGGGGUAACGGCUCACCAAGGCGACGAUGCGUAGCCGACCUGAGAGGGUGAACGGCCACACUGGGACUGAGACACGGCCCAGACUCCUACGGGAGGCAGCAGUAGGGAAUCUUCCGCAAUGGGCGAAAGCCUGACGGAGCAACGCCGCGUGAGUGAUGAAGGUUUUCGGAUCGUAAAGCUCUGUUGCCAGGGAAGAACGUCCGGUAGAGUAACUGCUA